AAGACAACCAGAGGCCAGGAAGUUCCCAGGACCAACACCACUUCUGCCGGGUUUUGGGUUUUUUUCUCAUUAGAGUUUCACCUAAAACAGGAAGGUGUCUAGUCAACAUUGUGCCAACUGUCUCCAAGAACUGGGAACAGCAGCCACUUUCCCGCCCAAGCCGAGCUUUUGCAGAAAGGCACCAAAGCUGUUUCUAGUGCGCAGACAUGAUCCUGGUCCUCUUCUCAUUCCUGGGGAUACAGCUUUUCCUCGAUGUCCAGACGCAGACAGUUUCCCAGUCUGAUGCGCAUGUCACUGUCUUCGAAGGAGACCCGGUGGAGCUGAGAUGCAAGUAUUCCUAUGGUGGAUCCCUGUACCUCAGCUGGUACAUCCAGCACCAUGGCCAUGGCCUCCAGUUUCUCCUCAAGUACUAUUCAGGAAACCCAGUGGUUCGAGGAGUGAAUGGCUUCGAGGCUGAGUUCAACAAGAGUGACUCUUCCUUCCACCUGCGGAAAGCCUCUGUGCACUGGCGCGACUCAGCUGUGUACUUCUGUGCUCUAAGCGCACAGUGUGUGGGGCUGCAGGGGGAGCAGAACACAAACCCGUAAGGUGCGCAGGAGGGCGCUGCAGCUGAGUGACUCUCCAUCAUUCGUGCUCAUCACCCAUGUAAGGAGACUAAUCAACUUCCUGGUUCUCCAAGUUGGAAUUAUGUCAGUCUGUCCUUGGAACCCUAUGUGGGGUGUAUAGACAUUUGAUCAUAGCUCCCAGGAAGUGACAUAUCAGGGUAAAAAGAUUAAGUGCUCCUUGAGACAUAUUGCCUUUUUUUUAUUCGAUAUAUUUUUAAUUUACAUUUCAAAUGAUUUCCCCUUUUCUGGCUCUCCACUACCUGAAAGUCCCAUAAGCCCUCUUCCCUCCCCCUAUCCCCUCAUCCAACCCUUCCUACUUCCCUGUUCUGGUAUUCCCCUAUACUGCUGCACUGAGUCUUUCCAGAACCAGGGACCACUUUUCUGUUCCUCUUGGACAUCAAUUAAUUAUGUCUUGGGUAUUCCACAUUUCUAGGCUAAUAUCCACUUAUCAGUGAGUGCAUACCAUGAUUGAUCUUUUGAGAUUGGGUUGCCUCACUUAGUAUGAUAUUCUCCAUUUGUCUAAGAAUUUAAUAUUUAUUUUAUAGACUACAUUUUCUACUGAUGGAUUAUGUCCAUGAGAUUUAAGACACGACUCAGUUCUACAUAACCAGUAACUGCAGUGGGUGCUUAGAGUGUGCACUAGAGGGAGAGGUGUUGGCUUCCUUCAGCUCCAGACUGAAGGUCAGUGUUAAGAAGUACACUGCUUGCUCUCAACACCUCAAGAACCUCAGAAGCACUCUCCAUCUGUGAUCAUUAGUUUAGUUCACUUGCUGCGGUAUGGAAUCAUCCUGACGGGAAUCUCGAUAAGGAGUUAUCUCGAUUCGGUUGUCUUGUGAGUGUGUCUGUGGCAGAUUACAUUAACCACUGUGGGAAGACUCAGCCUGCAUUCGGGAAGCGCCAUUCCCAGAGUUUGGCCCUGAACACCACAGGAAACGGUGAACAGUUAGUAGAACACGGCAUGCAAACACUCUGCGCUCUGAUCCUGAUUGUGAAUGUGAUAUGACACGGUGGCUAAGGCUUUUGUUGCCCUGACAUGCACACAGUCCAUGCUAUGAUGGACUGUAACCUGGAAAGCUUAGGUCAGGUAAGCAUUCCUCUUCCUUCUAAGCUAUUUUUGUCAAGCUGUUUUGUCACAGCAAUGGAUAGGGAACUAGGAUGCCAUCCUUACUUUAGCAGACAUAAGAGCACAGAGUAAAGAGAUAGAAGGUAGGGAAGAGACCAGAGUCUGAUGUCAGCAGAUAAAACGAUUUCAAACGGCAAAGAGCAGACACUGCUUUGCAGGAAAUGGGCAUCUUCAAGGAAGGAGAGGGACUAUUAAGAGUUUAUAGAAGAUUGGGAUAAGGACUGUUGUGCAGUUGCAAGGGGCUAUCUACAAGUCUAAUGUCUUUCAUUCCUAGUAUUUUCUGCUCCUUUGCAACAGACUCUCAUGGGAAACAGGCUAUUUUACCAAAAACAUUUCCUUUCUGGGGCUCACUGAUAAGGACUGGAACAAGAACAGCUGGAGCCUCAUAAGGACACUGUUUGUAUGGCUGAGGUACACUGUCACGGGUGAGCAGUGCAGGAUUAUUUACUCCUCUGUAGGAAAUCAACGGGAGAGUGACACUUCAGCUCUUUUGUUUUGACUACGACACCUGGUAGGUAUUGGAUGGUAGGUCUGUAGCUCUGAAUAGCAGUUGUGAUAGACUUCUUUUCACCCUUCAUCAUCCCAGGCACGAUGUCUUACCUGGGAACAGCAUCCUAUGCCAUUUCUAAGUUUCUUAGUAGCCAGCUUUGUACAUGUGGUUGUUCACUGGCAAAAAUGACACAAGCCUGAAAUGUGUUUAUGAACAGAAAUGAGGAAGUGGACAACCACAAAGAUUUAGACAGUUAUAGUUGUUAUUUGAACAAAUUAUAACACCCUUUAGGUCUAUGUAUCUAAGUCAGUAUAGUUUUACUCAAUAUAAAGUUUUAACUAACUUUAAGACCAAUAAAAUUCCUAUUGUUUUUGUUUUUUCCUCCUAAGUGUUAUUCCCUUUCAUUCCCCAACAACAAAACUUAUAAACUUUAUUUCUCAAGUUUGUAUUUUGCAUUUCUAAUAUAUGUGU
Apodemus sylvaticus (European woodmouse) is the source of this 2689-nucleotide non-coding RNA. Lineage: Eukaryota; Metazoa; Chordata; Mammalia; Rodentia; Muridae. The record is from the annotation of a RefSeq genome assembly.